GGUGAAAUCUAUCCAGAAUACAAUCUAAAUACAGUCCUUCUCUCAUCUCUUCAGUAUUGUAUUUUCAUCCUCCUCAUAGGUAUUUAGCUUUAAGACAGUGCUGUCUGAUACAGAUCAAAGAAUCUGCUUAGUUUUAUUGUGUGUAUGUGUGAUUUGGCUACAUCUCAUUUUUAAAACUCCUGUACUGUACCAUCAUUAUAGUUUUACCUCAGGACAACCACUGUGCAUUUAUUAUAUGAGCUGAAACCAUUGCUGAAGACAUUUCAUAGUUGUGUGACCUUUCAGAUAUUGUUUGUCCAAACAUUUUGUGUUAUCCUGGGACAUCUUCCACCUGAUUUUCUGUCUGUAUGUCGUGCAUCAGCUGGGAUAGAGUUAAUUUUCUUUGUAGAGGCUUGUAUGGGAUGCUAUCAUAUUGACUUAUCAGUAAGGAGCUAGGGGUACACUAGAAGCAGGGAGGGGACACAACCAGAACAGCUGAGCUAAACUGGCCAAAGUGCAUUACUGGAAGUGGCAGAAUGCCUGCCUGGUGAUGCAAAGUAAUGAUUGAAAUCCUUGUUUUACUUUGCUUUUGUAUGCAACUUCUGCUUUACCUAGGAAAUUUUCUUUAUGUCUGCCCACGAGUUAUAGUCAUCAUAGAUUCAUAGUCAUUCUAGAGUCAUUCUAGAGAUAUAAGAAUCAAGAAGUCAUAAUCAAUGAGAUGUAAUGUAGUUAAAGAUUGAUAAGACAUCAUAGAAUCACAGAGUCAUAGCUGAGUUGUCAUAGAUUCCUCAUAAUGUCAUAGAGUAAUCAUAGUGUCAUUGAUUCUUCAUAGAAUCAUAGGGUGGUCAUGGACUGGUCUUUUACCUUUCCCAUUCUCUUCACAUCCCAUUUGCAGAGAGCAGGUAAGUGGCUGCGUGGUGCUGAGCUGCCUGCUGAGCUUAAACCACAGCACAACUGCUGGACAGAAGAGAAAGAUGAUUUACCUUUGCUCAUUUUAUGUCCUGUCUGUUUGUAGUUCCAAUUUCAGAUGUGUGCCAGACGCCAUGCAGAAGCAGCAGGGACUUUGGAGGGAGGCCACAGCUGCAGAGUUGCAGGUUCUCAUCUUGCUUGGUAUAUAGUAGAGCUUUUCAUCAUCAGGAGAUGGAUGGCAAAUGGAGUAAGACAAAUACCUUCCAUGGAAAAUAUUUGCAGAAUUAAACGGAUGAAUAUCAGGUACCUUUGAUUAGGCACAGAGAAAAAGUAGUAAAGGGGGAAAUCGAGAGAUUUAUUUCUUAUAUCUUGUCUCUGUUCCCCAGAAAAAAUGAAUUAAAAAAUUAGUAUAAUUCAGAUCAAAAAGCUCAUUCUUAGUACUGGUGGAUAAACUGUGCUGUGUAGUGUGAUUUAAAUGAGGAGAACUUCAGAGAAGAACUAGAAUCUUGGAAGAAUGUUUGGAAUUUAUUUUUAUAAAAGGUGGACAUUCACAAAUUUUAUUCAAAAUUUUUGUGGUGUAUGUUCACCUGUUAGGCAAUACCAUCUGACUACCAAGCUGCAUCAGUAUUUAAUUUGAAACUGUCAUUAUAACACUAGAAAAAGAAGUUUGUAAAGCCAAAGAAGAGACUUCGAUAAGUAGGCUGCCUUUCUGUGUGUGCUUUUCUUGUCUGAGCUUCUUGAAAUAUAUUUAUUUUCAUGCCUAUCACAUUGUUAAUGAGUUUUCUUCUAUAAACUGACCCUGACUGCUACUCUAAAAUAUAUUUUAAAUGAAGUGUGUCUAUACACAUUGAAUCAUACAGAGAUCUUGCUUGUUGGUACUUCAAAACUAAAUAAUUUUUUUGAAAGAUGACCGUUCAUGAACAGGCUUAGGGUCCAAGCUGUCCCAACAAAGCUCCCUCUAGAUCUUUUUCUUAUUUACCCAUCUCCAAAAUGGAUUUAAAAUACCACUUAACCCAGUAGCAUUUCACACCAUCUUUUCUUAAAUAUAGAUGAGUGUUCAAGGUACAAGACAAGAAAACAGUACCCAUUAUGUUCCUUAUGAAAUAGAAGCCUUAGAUGGUAGCAGAAAUUAGUUAAUUUUGGGUGUGACCAGCAAGUUAAACUCUUAGUGGGAAAAGAUUAUAGCAAAACAGGUUUUGUGUAUAAUUAGAAAAAAGAAU
This 2108-nucleotide long non-coding RNA is filed under the name Coturnix japonica (Japanese quail). RNAcentral's name for it is "lncRNA (ENSCJPG00005008423.1)". The record is from RNAcentral. Lineage: Eukaryota; Metazoa; Chordata; Aves; Galliformes; Phasianidae.